This 495-nucleotide ribosomal RNA is filed under the name uncultured bacterium. Its description in RNAcentral is "partial 16S ribosomal RNA". It matches the Rfam family "Bacterial small subunit ribosomal RNA", at positions 28 to 507 of the family's 1533-position model. The record is from RNAcentral.
GACGAACGCUGGCGGCGUGCCUAAUACAUGCAAGUAGAACGCUGAAGGAGGAGCUUGCUUCUCUGGAUGAGUUGCGAACGGGUGAGUAACGCGUAGGUAACCUGCCUGGUAGUGGGGGAUAACUAUUGGAAACGAUAGCUAAUACCGCAUAAUAGCAGUUGUUGCAUGAUAACUGUUUGAAAGGUGCAAUUGAACCGCUACCAGAUGGACCUGCGUUGUAUUAGCUAGUUGGUGGGGUAACGGCUCACCAAGGCGACGAUACAUAGCCGACCUGAGAGGGUGAUCGGCCACACUGGGACUGAGACACGGCCCAGACUCCUACGGGAGGCAGCAGUAGGGAAUCUUCGGCAAUGGACGGAAGUCUGACCGAGCAACGCCGCGGGAGUGAAGAAGGUUUUCGGAUCGUAAAGCUCUGUUGUAAGAGAAGAACGAGUGUGAGAGUGGAAAGUUCACACUGUGACGGUAUCUUACCAGAAAGGGACGGCUAACUACGUG